Long non-coding RNA from Dermochelys coriacea (leatherback sea turtle), 292 nucleotides. RefSeq lists it as uncharacterized. NCBI's taxonomy places the organism in Eukaryota, Metazoa, Chordata, Testudines, Dermochelyidae. The transcript is spliced from 3 exons. The record is from RefSeq and is a predicted model, not a curated record.
CCUGGGGCUGGAGCCUGAAGAGGAACUUGCCAGAGAUGCCUGCCACCAAAGAUACUGAGGAAUUGCUGGGACUGCCGUUAGCCAUGUACUCUGGGGAGACAGAGGACAACCCUGAGACACAGGCAUCCCAAAUUCUGGUGAUUCUUUGUGGAUCUUCUGGGAUUCCAUUCCUGAAACUCUGGCAAAGGAGUUGAGAGGUCCCAGAGAAGUGUGAAAAAAUAUAAAAUAUGAUGCUGAAGUCCAAACUAUGACACGGAACCAGAACAAAAAGAAGCACCAAAGGUGAUCAACA